AACGAAGAUGUUUCAUUGGAUCAGUUAAACCCUCGUACCUUUCCAUUGAUGGUAAAACCUUAUUCUCCGGUAUAAUAGCCCUCAUUACCCGUGCGGUGAACGGGUGGAGCCCUUCAGCCUGAUCGGGUAACUCAACUACAACUCGAUCAUCCACCAACGGAUUUUCUUCCUCCGACGCAUUUCCCCGCCUAUCUUCAUCGUUUCAUCCAUCAUAAUCUCUUGCCUCGUACUCCUCUUCAUUCCCAUUCUACCCGUUCCCUCCUCCCCUUCCACGUCCAUCUCCUCACCCAUUUCCUCGCCCUCUCGUGUUUCUCCCUCUUCCUCGGCCAUUUCCUCGUCCUCCCCUUAUUCCAGACCCGCCAUUAUCAUUUCCCUUCACCUGGACAGUGGGAUUGUCCUCACCACUCCUAGAGUUCACGGUCUCAACAUUCACCGACUGAACCGAAGGUCCGCCCCUUCCCUCACCUCGCUCAGCCCUCAUUGCCGCCAUCUCUGCCCGUAUUUCCUCCAUCUGCCUUUGCAUUUCUUAUAAUUGCCGCCAUUGUGAUCGUGUUUGGGUUGUGUUAGGAAUCUCGGGCCCCACGAUGGGCGCCAAAAUGUUUCGGAUGUAGGACUCGAGCCCAAACGCAAUUCAAGUUGUUUUCUGUCAAGUCUUUUCAAUUCUUCUUACACCAAUCACCGACCGGUUGUGACCUGCACGUUAGCACUCCGACGCUCAAGUCAACACAGUCACAAUAAGGCCAGGGAAUAUGUAAUUAGGUUAAAAAAGAUGUCAUACCUGGCUAAUUAUUUUCUAUAUUUAUAAGCAUAGGACUGGAGUAACGGAUAUUAAACUACCUGUAACCGCUGAUUCGUUGUCCCGCAAUAUCCGCAAUAUUCGCCCACUAAUUACGGUUGUUGCUAACGUGCCCGAGAUAUUCGCUCCACUAACCCCGCCAUUUUGUCUUACACUCCUAGCACGUUUCCUUUAUUCAACCGAUCAGCUCACCAACCACACCUAUCAAUCUUAUAUCCUUCUUGUUCGGUUCCCAUCGCUUGUAAACUCUUAUUGUCUUGCCCAGUUGUGUCGAUCCGCCCCCUUAUACUAUAGACAAUAUGCUAAAUAAGAGAAAUUUUUUUAUACCGAUAGCAUUGUAAACAGGUAUAAAAAAUAAUUUUAUACUGGUUAAACUUAUAAUCGAUAUAAAAAUAAUAGGUUUAAUGUCUCAAUAAGUUUCUAUUUUCGUUCAGAAAUUCAAAUAGGUCCC
Molecule: long non-coding RNA, 1247 nt
Filed under: Vigna radiata
Lineage: Eukaryota; Viridiplantae; Streptophyta; Magnoliopsida; Fabales; Fabaceae
Description: long non-coding RNA (VRAD_LNC017512)
Source: RNAcentral